CUUUGGCUGACGAGUCUUAAAUAGGACGAAACGUACGUCCUAGAU
Molecule: non-coding RNA, 45 nt
Filed under: Schistosoma margrebowiei
Lineage: Eukaryota; Metazoa; Platyhelminthes; Trematoda; Strigeidida; Schistosomatidae
Source: RNAcentral